AAUACAUCUAAAAUAAAUUAGAGCAAGGAACAAGCAGGCUAUGUUUAAACACAGAGCUCACUGGUCAUGUGGGAUCCAAUUUAAUGAGAAGGGACAUAAAGCAAUUUCCCAUCAAUGGAAGUCCCCAUCACCCAGUCCUGGAGUUUUCCUGAAAGGCAAAGCAACCUCCUUCUGAAUCUUCAAACACCAUGGCCCUGAGCGUGCUGUAUUUGUCUUUAUUUAUGACAGCCACACACUAUCUCAUGGCAGAAGACACCACUUAACCCAGGCAUCCCACAUGGAGGCUGUAUGUACUGGCAGAUUUUUAAUGACCAGGACCACUAUGGAUCAUAGAACAACUUGGAAGCUAGUUCUUUUUUUAAGCAUUGACAUCCAUCAAUCUUUCGCCUUUACCUAAUGCUGCAUUCAAAAGAAAUAUGUGGAGCAGCAGCAAAUUAAAGAAGACCAAAAUCUGAACCACUGCCAGGCUCUCUCCAUGGCCUCCUUUUCUUAUAGAGGUUGUCAGGGGAACAUUCAGCACAGCACGCCUGACUCCAGUGAACUCGGAGUUAAUGGACCCUGAAUGAGACUUCAGUACAUGAAGUACCUUCUAUCCUGGAAUAAGAUGAUGGACAUAUUAAUAGCACACAUACAGCUUUUGAGGCUGAAGAUUCAGGUCAAGUUAAUUGCUUUAAAAACCCAGUAAUUUAACCUACAGAAAAACAAUCACAUUGGUAAUAGCAGUCUUAAAUAUAGUUUUGUGUACUUUAAGACUUUAGUUAGUGUUUUUACACAAGAUGAGAGAAACUCAUGACAAAUACAAUGGCAGUGAAGAUUAAACAUCAGUAAAAGAAAAAGCACAUGCAAGAGAGAACAAAAAUGCUAAUAACCAAUUACAUCAGAUCCAGGAGAAAGUCAGCUAUAUAUUCUUGUUGAGAUUGAAACAAAAAUGUGAAGAUAAUGUAAUGGAGUUAAGAAGUGGUCAAUAGUUGAAUGCAUCCUAGGCCACUUAACAAAACCAGAAACUCUCAGCCGUAGGAGAAUGCAGAUGCCCUUUCUUUACCAAACAAGGGGAGAGCAAGGAAACAAGAAUGGAUCACAGGAUCUCAUCCUUAAAAAAGUACCCAUGGGAGAUGUGGACGUUCCUUGUCGGGAAACCAUCAGUACUAACUCUAUUUCAUGUACACAAAAUGAGAAUUUUGCCACAAACUUCUUGAACCGGAGAUAGUAGACAUAUUCAGCCUCUGGAUAGCCUACAUUAUAAAGAACAGAGAUUCAUCCCAUCUCCUUCUUUCCCCAACAAAAAUAUAAUCAUAUGAAAAGAAGUCAAGAGAACAAUUCUCCAACCUGAGAUUUCCUGUAUUUUUUAUUUUAUCUCCCUAUUGUUUCUUUUAUUUGUCGUUGUUUUCAUUCCAGUUUCAACCAGAGUCACAUUUGCUUCCUAAUCCAGUGCUUGUAAAUUUCUGUCUUCUUGGAUAAUUGUUGUUAAUAAUUGCUGUGGAUGAUUCUCUAACUUAGGAAGGUAUCUAGAUGAACCGUUUCUUUUUUCUGUGACCUGGUGCUGAAGGGCAUGUGUUGCCUGGGAAGUCAAUAAAAUGAGAUGAGCAUUAUAUCCUCAAUUGCUUUUCAAACAGUCCUUUGAUAUGCAACAGUCCUUUGCCCCUUUCUGAAUCAGCCCAUCCUCCAAGUGUUCCCAGGUCACAGCGCUGUCAGUACCCAUGGGACAGCAUAAAAGGAAGAGGUGUGUUACUUCUUUUCUUCCCUUGAAGUUUUUUUCUUUGGUUGGUUUAACCAUUAAAGAUAAGGUUUGAACUUAAUGAGCCUUUUAUUCG
RNAcentral lists this long non-coding RNA (1811 nucleotides) under Homo sapiens (human). RNAcentral's name for it is "HSALNT0084278". Lineage: Eukaryota; Metazoa; Chordata; Mammalia; Primates; Hominidae. The record is from RNAcentral.